GAUGAACGCUAGCUACAGGCUUAACACAUGCAAGUCGAGGGGCAGCAUGAACUUAGCUUGCUAAGUUUGAUGGCGACCGGCGCACGGGUGAGUAUCACGUAUCCAACCUGCCGAUGACUCGGGGAUAGCCUUUCGAAAGAAAGAUUAAUACCCGAUGGCAUAGUUCUUCCGCAUGGUAGAACUAUUAAAGAAUUUCGGUCAUCGAUGGGGAUGCGUUCCAUUAGGUUGUUGGCGGGGUAACGGCCCACCAAGCCUUCGAUGGAUAGGGGUUCUGAGAGGAAGGUCCCCCACAUUGGAACUGAGACACGGUCCAAACUCCUACGGGAGGCAGCAGUGAGGAAUAUUGGUCAAUGGACGAGAGUCUGAACCAGCCAAGUAGCGUGAAGGAUGACUGCCCUAUGGGUUGUAAACUUCUUUUAUACGGGAAUAAAGUGAGGCACGUGUGCCUUUUUGUAUGUACCGUAUGAAUAAGGAUCGGCUAACUCCGUG
This 489-nucleotide ribosomal RNA is filed under the name uncultured bacterium. RNAcentral describes it as "partial 16S ribosomal RNA". It matches the Rfam family "Bacterial small subunit ribosomal RNA", at positions 28 to 507 of the family's 1533-position model. The record is from RNAcentral.